UGUUAAAAGUUUUAUUUAUUUCUACUAUUAAAAAUUAAUGUAGCUGACGGAAUAACUAGAUAAUUACAUGUGAUAUACCAUAUGUACCUCAUAUUGACAUACAAUAACCCGUUUUUAAUAGUAAAAUUGGAUGAAAUUUUUAACA
Gossypium arboreum is the source of this 145-nucleotide non-coding RNA. Lineage: Eukaryota; Viridiplantae; Streptophyta; Magnoliopsida; Malvales; Malvaceae. The record is from Rfam.